This 32-nucleotide non-coding RNA is filed under the name Homo sapiens (human). The record is from RNAcentral. Lineage: Eukaryota; Metazoa; Chordata; Mammalia; Primates; Hominidae.
UACAUGUUUGUUCAAUAUACAUGUGUCAGGGC